CACGUAGGGCGCGAGCGUUGUCCGGAAUUAUUGGGCGUAAAGAGCUCGUAGGCGGCCUGUUGCGUCCGCUGUGAAAGCCCGGGGCUUAACCCCGGGUCUGCAGUGGAUACGGGCAGGCUAGAGGUAGGUAGGGGAGAAUGGAAUUCCCGGUGUAGCGGUGAAAUGCGCAGAUAUCGGGAGGAACACCGGUGGCGAAAGCGGCUCACUGGACCAUAACUGACGCUGAUGCACGAAAGCUAGGGGAGCAAACAGG
This 253-nucleotide ribosomal RNA is filed under the name uncultured bacterium. RNAcentral's name for it is "partial 16S ribosomal RNA". It matches the Rfam family "Bacterial small subunit ribosomal RNA", at positions 524 to 776 of the family's 1533-position model. The record is from RNAcentral.